Molecule: ribosomal RNA, 2719 nt
Filed under: Parcubacteria group bacterium
Lineage: Bacteria
Description: bacterial LSU rRNA
Rfam family: Bacterial large subunit ribosomal RNA
Source: RNAcentral
GUAGUAUGAGCGCAUUAUUGGCUUUGCGUCAGUGCUGUGAGGGUGGUGCUUAGGUAAAUCCGGGCACCGUUAAGCUCAAGCAGAGCAGAAAGCGUGAGGCCUCGGCCGAUCGCGAUUCAUAUGAGCAGCCUUCCGAGAAAAGCCUCUAAGCUUCAGAUAUAGUGUGACCGUACCGCAAACCGACACAGGUGGGAGGGUCGAGAAGACCAAGGUGAACGAGUGAUUGCUCCUCAAGGAACUCGGCAAAAAAGCGGCCGUAACUUAGGGAUAAGGCCUCCCAGCACAUCGCAUGGAAUGCGAUGUGAGCGUUCAGCGAAUAGCGUCGAGCGUUUAGAGCGUUGCCAAAGGCAACGCGUUCUAGACGCUAACCGCUAGCAACUAACCGCUUGCCAUCGCGCUUCGCGCGAUGUGCUGGGCGCAGCGAAAGAUUUCCUGGCGACUGUUUAUCAAAAACACAGCUCCCUGCAAACUCGAAAGAGGACGUAUAGGGGGUGACACCUGACCAAUGCCGGAAGGUCAACUACGGACGGUGUGCGCAUCACAAGGAGUGGGAUGCAGAGCGUUUAGCGAAUAGCGCCGAGCGUUUAGAGCGUUGCCAAAGGCAACGCGUUCUAGACGCUAACCGCUAGCAACUAACCGCUUGCCAUCGCGCUUCGCGUGAUGUGCAUGCUGGACUGUAUAAGCCCCGGUCAAUGUCAGCGAUAACUAUAAUCGUUCUAAGGUCAUGAAAAUCUUGAUUUAUCAAGGUUUUCAUGAGGACUGGAACGAUUAUAGAGAUAAACAUAGUUACACAAAAAGCUACCUUACUAAGAUGUAAGUCUUAGUUAGUCCGAUCGUAACCAACAAGAGACCACAUGUUACGCACCCCACCUUUUGGCAACAAGAGAGGGUGAAGAUAGAGUCCUUCUGUAAGGAAUAGAAGAGCGCAAUUCCUUGUCUGGUAUGAAGGUGCCAGUCGUGGCGGUGACGCCACGAACAAAACCGGCUAAUAACGGUGAAGCCCUCAUUGGAGCACUGCUAAGGACAGUGUGAUGAAGAAAGGGUAAUACCGUGGGAACCACGUUAGUUGCUAGUUUCUGGUUUCUCGUUUCUGGUUGCGCGCGAAGCGCGCUCAAUAUUCGGCGAAGCCGAAUAUUCACUAGAAACUAACAACUAGAAACUAGCAACUAAUCUGGACCCGUAUCGACUUUAGUCACCUCUAUCUGUAGGUGACUAGGAUGGAUGCUGAUACACUGAAAUCAUGCCGUAUCACAUUCAUAAUACGCCGGCUCUGAAGCAGAGAUCUGUUGUCGAUUAUGUUUCUGGAUAUGUUGAUGGCGAAGGCUGCUUUUCCGUUUCGUUCUCGAAACGCGACAAGAUGACCGUCGGGUGGGAAGUAAAACCCUCACUCGCGGUUGGCCAGAACCAUGAUCGAGCCGAAGUUCUGUAUCUGAUACAGAGUUACUUCGGUGCGGGACAUAUCCGAAGAGAUUUUAUCGGCAACAAUCACACCUUGAAGUGGGAAGUGAGAAGACUGCAUGAUCUCUGCGAGAUCAUCAUUCCUCAUUUCACCAAGUUCCCCAUGCUUUCGAGCAAACAGAACGACUUCAAGCUCUUCGCACAGAUCUGUUGCUUAUUGCAGCAGGAAGAGCAUGUGCACCUCAAAGGAUUCUCUCGAAUCGUCGAGCUUGCCUGUAUGAUGAAUACAAGCGGUCGAAGAAAGUAUUCGAAAGAAAAUAUCAUUGAGCAUGCACGGCUUCAGAUGAAGAUAUAGUCAGUGCCAUUGGAAACAAUGGAAUAUCACGAAAUUCAGACGCGCACGAAUGGUGUAACGACUGGGAAACUGUCUCGAGGAGUAGCUCGGUGAAAAUGCAAUUCCGGUAAAGAUGCCGGAUACCCGCGGAAAGACAGAAAGACCCCAGGAGCUUUACUAUAGCUUCAUAUUGGGGCAACGUUUGUACUGCGUAGCAUAGGUGGGAGAGGUUGAAGCCUGGAUUUCGGUUUAGGUGGACUCGUCAGUGAAAUACCACUCUUUAUGAAUGUUGUCUCUAACCGGGCACGCAAAACGUGUUCGAGACAGUGUGUGGCAGGUAGUUUUGCUGGGGCGGCACCCUCCCAAAGAGUAACGGAGGGGUCUAUGAAGGUCGGCUAGGCGCGAAUGGAAACCGUGCCGAUAGUGUAAGGGCAUAAGCCGGCUUGACUGCAAGGGGUACAUCCCGAGCAGGUGCGAAAGCAGAGCCUAGUGAACCGAAGGUGGCCUUUAGAUGGCGCCUGCGAUUAACGGAUAAAAGUUACCCUGGGGAUAACAGGCUAGUUCCGCCUAAGCGUCCAUAGCGACGGCGGAGUUCGGCACCUCGAUGUCGGCUCACCACAUCCCGGGGCUGGAGAAGGUCCCAAGGGUUUGGCUGUUCGCCAAUUAAAGUGGUACGCGAGCUGGGUUCAGACCGUCGUAAGACAGGUUGGUUCUCUAUCUUCCGUGGGCGUUGAUACUUGAGAAGAGCUGUCCCUAGUACGAGAGGACCGGGAUGGACUGACCUCUGGUCUACCUGCUGUUUCGCCAGAAGCAUCGCAGGGUAGCUAUGUCGGGAACGGAUAACCGCUGAAAGCAUCUAAGCGGGAAGCCGACUUCAAGAUUAGGUAUCAUUUGAGGCCCGUAGGAGACUACUACGUUGAUAGGCACUAGGUGUACGCGCAGUGAUGCGUUAAGCCGAGGUGUACUAAUUCGCCAAGUAGAUCCCUC